Castor canadensis (American beaver) is the source of this 365-nucleotide non-coding RNA. Lineage: Eukaryota; Metazoa; Chordata; Mammalia; Rodentia; Castoridae. The record is from RefSeq and is a predicted model, not a curated record.
GGCUGGGGGGACCGAGGGUCCAGCCGCGUGCGAACACCACCCGGGGAAGGCCCUGCCAUCCGUGGCCCCCCACGCCCGGAGAGGGAUGCGGUGCGCCCUGAGAGCCCGGUAGCCUCGGAUCGCGGCGCUGCGGUGGCGAGGAUGGACGAGCCGUGGUGGGAAGGGCGCGUCGCCUCGGACGUCCACUGCACCCUGCGCGAGAAGGAGCUGAAGCUGCCCACCUUCCGUGCCCACUCCCCACUCCUGAAGAGCCGUCGCUUCUUUGUGGAUAUCCUGACCCUGCUGAGCAGUCACUGCCAGCUGUGCCCUGCAGCCCGGCAUCUGGCUGUCUACCUGCUGGACCACUUCAUGGACCGCUACAAUAU